GACAUAGGUCGCAAACGUUACUCAGAAUUAUUGGGCGUAAAGGAUGCGUAGAUGGUAAAAUAAGUUAUUAGUGGUAAAUCAGAGCUCAACUUUGUGGAAGCUUAUAAUACUGUUUUGCUAGAGGAUAGGAGAGGUUAACGGAAUUCUGUGUGGAGCAGUGAAAUGCUUAGAUAUAUGGAAGAACAUCAAAAGGCGAAGGCAGUUAACUAUUCUAUUUCUGACAUUGAGGCAUGAAAGCGUGGGGAGCAAAACAG
RNAcentral lists this ribosomal RNA (254 nucleotides) under uncultured bacterium. RNAcentral's name for it is "partial 16S ribosomal RNA". It matches the Rfam family "Bacterial small subunit ribosomal RNA", at positions 524 to 776 of the family's 1533-position model. The record is from RNAcentral.